Molecule: ribosomal RNA, 736 nt
Filed under: Bacillus sp. PSu3_27
Lineage: Bacteria; Bacillati; Bacillota; Bacilli; Caryophanales; Bacillaceae
Description: bacterial SSU rRNA
Rfam family: Bacterial small subunit ribosomal RNA
Source: RNAcentral
CUAUACUGCAAGUCGAGCGGAUUUUGGAUGGAACUUGCUCCUGAUUCAUUUAUCGGCGGACAGGUGAGUAACACGUAUGCGACCUGCCCUUGAGACUGGGAUAACAUUCUGAAACGAAUGCGAAGACAGGAUAGACGACGAGGUCUCAUGAGCUUGUUGAGAAACACGGCGCACGCUGUGGCUUGUGGAUGGGCCUGCGGCGCAUUAUCUAUUUGGUGGGGUAACGGCUCACCACGGCGACAAUACGUAUCCCACAUGAGAGGGUGAACGGCCACACUGGGACUGAGACACGGCCCACACUCCUACAGGAGGCAGCACUAUGGAAUCUUCCCCAAUGGGCGCACGCCUGAUGGAGCAACGCCGCGUGAGUGAGGAAAGCUUUCUGGUCUCAUAGCUCUGUUGCCACGGAAGAAUAUAGAUGUGUUAACUGCGCAUUCUAUGACAGUACCUGAGAAAAAAGCCCCGGCUAACUACAUGCCAGCACCCGCGGUAAUACAUAUGGGGCAAGCGUUGUCCGGAAUUAUUGUGCGUAUAGCGCGCGCACGCGGUCUUUUAAGUCUGGUGUCUCAGUGCGGGGCUCAACCCCGUGAUGCGCUGUAAACUGUGAGACUUGAGUGCGCAAGAGAAGAGCGCAAUUCCACGUGUAUCGCUGAAAUGCGUAUAGAUGUGUAGGAACACCACUGUCGAAAGCGGCUCUCUGGACUGUAACUGACACUCAGGCGCGCAAGCGUGUGGA